UGGGCUGGCCGGGCGACCGCGGGGGAGGCAACUCCUUCGAGGAAGGUCCGGGCUCCACAGGGCAGGGUGGUGGCCAACAGCCACCCGAGGGUGACCGUCGCGGCUCGGUAAACCCCACCUGGAGCAAGACCAGACAGUGAGCGUUCGAGGGCGGCCCGCCCGAGCUCACGGGUAGGUCGCACGAGGGUGUCGGCAACGGCACUCCCAGAUGGAUGGUCGCCAACCGUGGCGUCGUGAGGCGGUACGGCGAACAGAACCCGGCCUAUGAGCCAGCCCAUCCG
RNAcentral lists this RNase P RNA (281 nucleotides) under Propionibacteriales bacterium. Its description in RNAcentral is "RNase P RNA component class A". It matches the Rfam family "Bacterial RNase P class A". Rfam says of the family: Ribonuclease P (RNase P) is a ubiquitous endoribonuclease, found in archaea, bacteria and eukarya as well as chloroplasts and mitochondria. Its best characterised activity is the generation of mature 5'-ends of tRNAs by cleaving the 5'-leader elements of precursor-tRNAs. Cellular RNase Ps are ribonucleoproteins. The record is from RNAcentral. Lineage: Bacteria; Bacillati; Actinomycetota; Actinomycetes; Propionibacteriales.